AGAGUUUGAUCCUGGCUCAGAAUGAACGCUGGCGGCGUGCUUCAACACAUGCAAGUCGAGCGAGAAAGUGACUUUGGUCACGAGUAAAGCGGCGAACGGGUGAGUAACGCGUGGACAACCUGCCUGGUAGCGGGGGAUAACUCGGGGAAACCUGGGCUAAUACCGCAUGAGCUUGCUGAACUUCGGUUCAGCUCGGAAAGGUGGCCUCUUCUUGAAAGCCAUCACUACCAGAGGGGUCUGCGCCUGAUUAGCUUGUUGGUGAGGUAAUGGCUCACCAAGGCGACGAUCAGUAGCCGGCCUGAGAGGGUGAUCGGCCACACUGGAACUGAGACACGGUCCAGACUCCUACGGGAGGCAGCAGUGGGGAAUAUUGCGCAAUGGGGGAAACCCUGACGCAGCAACGCCGCGUGGAGGAUGAAGGCCUUCGGGUCGUAAACUCCUGUCAGGUGGGAAGAAAAAGCACGGGCGAAAUACCUGUGCCCUUGACGGUACCACCAGAGGAAGCCCCGGCUAACUCCGUGCCAGCAGCCGCGGUAAUACGGAGGGGGCAAGCGUUAUUCGGAAUUAUUGGGCGUAAAGGGCGCGCAGGCGGCUUGGCAAGUCAAAGGUGAAAUCCCUCGGCCCCACCGAGGAAUUGCCUUUGAAACUGCCAGACUAAAGGCCGGGAGAGGGUAGUGGAAUUCCCAGUGUAGCGGUGAA
RNAcentral lists this ribosomal RNA (699 nucleotides) under uncultured bacterium. RNAcentral describes it as "bacterial SSU rRNA". It matches the Rfam family "Bacterial small subunit ribosomal RNA", at positions 8 to 685 of the family's 1533-position model. The record is from RNAcentral.